This 253-nucleotide ribosomal RNA is filed under the name uncultured bacterium. RNAcentral describes it as "partial 16S ribosomal RNA". It matches the Rfam family "Bacterial small subunit ribosomal RNA", at positions 524 to 776 of the family's 1533-position model. The record is from RNAcentral.
UACGUAGGGUGCAAGCGUUGUCCGGAAUCACUGGGCGUAAAGGGCGCGUAGGUGGCGCCGCAAGUCCAUGGUGAAAGCUCGAUGCUCAACAUCGAGUCGGCCACGGAGACUGCGGGGCUCGAGCACUGUAGGGGCAGAUGGAAUUCCGGGUGUAGCGGUGGAAUGCGUAGAGAUCCGGAAGAACACCGGUGGCGAAGGCGGUCUGCUGGGCAGUUGCUGACACUGAGGCGCGACAGCGUGGGGAGCAAACAGG